This 69-nucleotide transfer RNA is filed under the name Tetrix ruyuanensis. RNAcentral describes it as "tRNA-Gln". Lineage: Eukaryota; Metazoa; Arthropoda; Insecta; Orthoptera; Tetrigidae. The record is from RNAcentral.
UAUGUAAAAGUGUAAGAUGCACAUAAGUUUUUGAUACUUAAAGAGACAGUUUAAUUCUGUUAUACAUAA